UGUAUGUUUCUCAUGUGUAAUUUUAAUAUUUAUAUCCUGUUAAAUGUCUCUUUCUGUGACAGGCACUCCUGCAACUCCUGCCACCCCAGCCAACAUUGUGCCCAGUUUACCAGACUGGGCCUCUCAGAUCUCUAACUCUGAUACAAUGACAGCUGUAGCCCAGAUCCUGCAGAGCCCUCAAGGCCAACAGUUGCAACAGUUGGUGCAAAGCCUACAGAUGCAGCAGCAGAAGCCUCAGCCAUCGCUGCUGCAGGCUCUAGAUGCAGGCUUGGUGGUCCAGCUACAGGCCCUAACAGCCCAGCUCACGGCCGCAGCUGCAGCCAACACACUCAACCCCCUGGAGCAGAGAGUCUCUUCCUUCAACAAGGUGAAACGCAUGCAAGUUGUGGCAAUUUUCAGCAGUUACUAGGUGUUCUUAGACAGUAUGUAUAAGUUAUGUUUUUGCAGUGUUUUAGUAUAUAGUGUAAGGAAGACUGAUGACCUGUAUUGCUUAUGAUUUAUGACUGCAUUUUGAAUGUGGGACUUGGCUCUGUGGCCACUGACACACACGAAUGGUUUUGACAUCCUCUCCGUUUGCAGAAACUGUUGGGUCAGUUUGAUUUUGGCAGUGAGUCAGAACCGAGUGAGGACUCUAAAAAGGACACAGCAGCUUCUCAGUUACCCAUGGUUUCUGAGUCUAUCAACAGCUCUAUUUUCCAUCAGUUGGCUGAGCAGCUCCAGCAGCAGAACCUCGAACAGUUUCAGAAACAAAUCCUGGAGCACCAGCAACAUCAGCAGAAGUCGAUGGCCAUGGAGAGCCAGGAGACAAUAUUUGGUCCUGAAAAUACUGCUCCUCCUGCACAGAGCAAUGUCCAGCCACAACUCCAAGAACAGGAAACAAAAUUGGAUGACUCCAUUGACAACCAGCAACAGGACAUGGAACUUGAUGAGGGACAGGAUACCAUAG
Pygocentrus nattereri (red-bellied piranha) is the source of this 946-nucleotide long non-coding RNA. The record is from Ensembl. Lineage: Eukaryota; Metazoa; Chordata; Actinopteri; Characiformes; Serrasalmidae.